GAAAAAUAAUGAUGGAGAGUUUGAUCCUGGCUCAGAACGAACGCUGGCGGCGCGUCUUAACCAUGCAAGUCGAGCGGCAGGCAGCAAUGCCGAGAGCGGCGGACUGGUGAGUAACACGUGGAUAACGUACCCCGAUGCCCGGGACAGCCUGUAGAAAUAGAGGGUGAUACCGGAUAGAUCACUGUAUACGGAAGGUAGACAGCGGGAAAGGAGCUUCGGCUCCGCGCCGGGAACGGUCUGCGGCCCAUCAGCUGGACGGCGGGGUAACGGCCCGCCGUGGCGAGGACGGGUAUCCGGCCUGAGAGGGCGGACGGACACAUUGGGACUGAGAUACGGCCCAGACUCCUACGGGAGGCAGCAGGUAAGAAUAUUCCGCAAUGGGGGGAACCCUGACGGAGCGACGCCGCGUGAACGAAGAAGGCCGGAAGGUUGUAAAGUUCUUUUCUGUCCGAGGAAUAAGUGUAGGAGGAAAUGCCUGCAUGGUGACGGUAGGGCAGGAAUAAGCACCGGCUAAUUACGUGCCAGCAGCCGCGGUAACACGUAAGGUGCGAGCGUUGUUCGGAAUUAUUGGGCGUAAAGGGCAUGCAGGCGGGUCGCCAAGCUUGGUAAGAAAUACCGGGGCUCAACUCCGGAGCUAUAUUGAGAACUGGCGAGCUGGAGUUGCCGAAGGGUAUCCGGAAUUCCGCGUGAAGGGGUGAAAUCUGUAGAUAUGCGGAAGAACACCGAUGGCGAAGGCAGGAUACCGGCGGACGACUGACGCUGAGGUGCGAAGGUGCGGGGAGCAAACAGGAUUAGAUACCCUGGUAGUCCGCACAGUCAACGAUGUACACUGGGCGUGUGCGCAAGAGCGUGCGUGCCGAAGCAAACGCGAUAAGUGUACCGCCUGGGGAGUAUGCCCGCAAGGGUGAAACUCAAAGGAAUUGACGGGGGCCCGCACAAGCGGUGGAGCAUGUGGUUUAAUUCGAUGGUACGCGAGGAACCUUACCUGGGUUUGACAUCAAGAGGGAUCAUAUAGAGAUAUGUGAGCGUAGCAAUACGGCUCUUGACAGGUGCUGCAUGGCUGUCGUCAGCUCGUGCCGUGAGGUGUUGGGUUAAGUCCCGCAACGAGCGCAACCCCUACUGCCGGUUACUAACAGGUAGAGCUGAGGACUCAGGCGGAACUGCCUGCGACAAGCAGGAGGAAGGCGGGGACGACGUCAAGUCAUCAUGGCCCUUAUGUCCAGGGCUACACACGUGCUACAAUGGCCGCCACAGAGCGGGGCGAAGCCGAGAGGCGGAGCAGAACGCAGAAAAGCGGUCGUAGUCCGGAUUGAAGUCUGAAACUCGACUUCAUGAAGCUGGAAUCGCUAGUAACCGCACAUCAGCACGGCGCGGUGAAUACGUUCCCGGGCCUUGUACACACCGCCCGUCACACCAUCCGAGCAGGGGGUACCCGAAGCCGGCAGUCCAACCGCAAGGGGGACGCUGUCGAAGGUACGCUUUGUGAGGGGGGUGAAGUCGUAACAAGGUAGUCGUACCGGAAGGUGCGGCUGGAUCACCUCCUUU
This 1545-nucleotide ribosomal RNA is filed under the name Treponema socranskii subsp. buccale. Its description in RNAcentral is "bacterial SSU rRNA". It matches the Rfam family "Bacterial small subunit ribosomal RNA". Lineage: Bacteria; Pseudomonadati; Spirochaetota; Spirochaetia; Treponematales; Treponemataceae. The record is from RNAcentral.